RNAcentral lists this ribosomal RNA (254 nucleotides) under uncultured bacterium. Its description in RNAcentral is "partial 16S ribosomal RNA". It matches the Rfam family "Bacterial small subunit ribosomal RNA", at positions 524 to 776 of the family's 1533-position model. The record is from RNAcentral.
GACGAACCGUGCAAACGUUGUUCGGAAUCACUGGGCUUAAAGGGCGCGUAGGCGGGUUUCCAAGUCUGUGGUGAAAUCCUCCAGCUUAACUGUGGGCGUGCGGUCGAUACGGGCAUCACUGGAGUUCGGCAGGGGAGACUGGAAUUCCUGGUGUAGCGGUGAAAUGCGCAGAUAUCAGGAGGAACACCGGUGGCGAAGGCGGGUCUCUGGGCCGAUACUGACGCUGAGGAGCGAAAGCGUGGGGAGCAAACAGG